This 68-nucleotide transfer RNA is filed under the name Marmota monax (woodchuck). RNAcentral describes it as "tRNA.Ala". The record is from RNAcentral. Lineage: Eukaryota; Metazoa; Chordata; Mammalia; Rodentia; Sciuridae.
GGAUUGUGGCUCAGUGGUAGAGCGCUUGUGUAGCAAUUGUGAGGCCCUGGGUUUUAUCCCCAGCACCA